AGGUUUCCUGAAUACUGUUGCUGACU
Molecule: non-coding RNA, 26 nt
Filed under: Rattus norvegicus (Norway rat)
Lineage: Eukaryota; Metazoa; Chordata; Mammalia; Rodentia; Muridae
Source: RNAcentral